This 253-nucleotide ribosomal RNA is filed under the name uncultured bacterium. Its description in RNAcentral is "partial 16S ribosomal RNA". It matches the Rfam family "Bacterial small subunit ribosomal RNA", at positions 524 to 776 of the family's 1533-position model. The record is from RNAcentral.
UACGUAGGGUGCAAGCGUUAAUCGGAAUUACUGGGCGUAAAGCGUGCGCAGGCGGUGUCGUAAGCCAGGCGUGAAAUCCCCGGGCUUAACCUGGGAAUUGCGUUUGGGACUGCGAUGCUUGAGUGUGGCAGAGGGAGGUGGAAUUCCACGUGUAGCAGUGAAAUGCGUAGAGAUGUGGAGGAACACCGAUGGCGAAGGCAGCCUCCUGGGCCAGCACUGACGCUCAUGCACGAAAGCGUGGGGAGCAAACAGG